Long non-coding RNA from Macrobrachium nipponense, 555 nucleotides. RefSeq lists it as uncharacterized. The record is from RefSeq and is a predicted model, not a curated record. The transcript has 3 exons. Lineage: Eukaryota; Metazoa; Arthropoda; Malacostraca; Decapoda; Palaemonidae.
AGUUAAUCAUCGCUUUUCGUCGGUGAUCGGUGAGAGUUUCCUAGUGAUUUUGACGGUGAUAUUUUGUUUGUUAAUUUAAUUCUAUAGAAGCUUUCUACUGUCUUUUCACAACGUGUUCAGGAUACUGACUAGUGAUUCUACACUUGUCACAUCACUCAAUCUUAGACCUGCCGUCUUCCCAGGAUUAUAUUCGUAACUAUGGCUUAUUCUUAAAUGAAAAGGUUAUGCUAGUAAGAAGACAUUGCUCAGCAAUUGACUACCGCCGCGCCCUGGAAGUGGCCGUUGGAGAGCGCCCUGGAAGUGAAGUUCUGUGUUAGUAUGUUGGCUUAAAUUCUAUAUAAGAUUCAGUUCAACACCUGGAAUCUCUUUUGAUAAACUGCUGCUAGAGUACAGUAGUUUCAUUGUUACUUUAAGGCAGAUAUUACCCAGAGCAACUGGUAUCAAGCAUUAGUAAUGACCUUCACAAGUUGUCUGGUUUGGAUUGGCUAUACUAGCCUUUUAUUUAUUUCUGUGGUCUAUAAUAAAAUUCUUAAUAUUCUUAAUUACACUUAAGUA